AGAGGAGAAAGAGAGCAAGCGGCGGGGAAAAAAAGUGUUUCUACGCGUUUUCGUGGAGAACUGAAAGGGCGGCCGUGGCAGUGAAGAAGGGAAACUCGGGGUUUUACGGUAGCGUGUCAUUGCAUGCUCUGUUGUCUCUCCAGUUUCUCCACAAUGGAUUUGUAUUCAGUGUUCUAGGCACUUGAACGUGCCUGUUUACUCGAUUCGAGUUCUGGCAAUGUGGACGCAUAAGAUCAUCGCGCAUAAAGCGGUGUGCUCGUUCUGCCACUGCACACCAAAGUGCGCAAAGGAAGCUACGUUUCAACUGUUUCUUUCCACGUUCACAAGCAGCGAGAUUGGCACUGAAUCAGGUGCCAAAGCACGUAAAUCUUGUGGUUUUACCCGGAGCGCUGUGUCCUGACUGGAAAGGGUUGAAAAGACCGUUGGUUGCUGGGCAGGUUGGAGACACACAGAGUUAAAAAAGAAGGGGAUUUGGCUUGCCACUCGAGAUGACAAGAUUUCUACGAGGAAACAGCAGAGUCUCUCACUUGUUCGCUAAACGUGUGUCGGAGCGCGUGUGUUGAGUGCCGGUCGACUGCUAUCAUCAGGCUCUGCAAACAGCCACUUUCUUCUGUUUAUCUUGGGCGGGCAGGAGGACCAUCCAUCCACACAGCGAGUCGUGUACUUGCGGAAAACGACAUUCGCGACUUCGAAGACACCGGGAAACGAACUUCCUCCAUUGUUGGGAGACCUAUUUGUAGAAAGGCACCUCUCAGUAUAGAGUCACG
RNAcentral lists this long non-coding RNA (767 nucleotides) under Toxoplasma gondii VEG. The record is from RNAcentral. Lineage: Eukaryota; Apicomplexa; Conoidasida; Eucoccidiorida; Sarcocystidae.